Molecule: long non-coding RNA, 292 nt
Organism: Myxocyprinus asiaticus (Chinese sucker)
Lineage: Eukaryota; Metazoa; Chordata; Actinopteri; Cypriniformes; Catostomidae
Exons: 3
Source: RefSeq, a predicted model, not a curated record
AUUAAUUGAAGGGACAUUGGCUUUCUUUCUUGAGAAAGGGUUUUGUCUACGCUCCUAACUGGAUUGCUUUGUUCUUGAGGUGCAGUGUCAGAGCGGGCAGCGAGUAAGCAGAGAAGACUGAAUAGAAUGGAGAUCGCUGUUCGGGGUGCCGAGAUCCGAUGUAGGAGGAGCUUGACAGCUGUAACCAGGGAGUCAAAUGUUACAGUGGUGUGAGACACUGUACUGCCAUCUUUUGACGUGGAUCAGCAUGAUCGACUCUGCUGCCCCCGCCAGCUCUGGAAUAUCAUUUGCA